RNAcentral lists this ribosomal RNA (512 nucleotides) under uncultured bacterium. RNAcentral describes it as "bacterial SSU rRNA". It matches the Rfam family "Bacterial small subunit ribosomal RNA", at positions 791 to 1299 of the family's 1533-position model. The record is from RNAcentral.
UAGUCCACGCCGUAAACGAUGAUCACUAGAUGUGGGUUAUGUUUUGCAUAAUCCGUGUCGAAGCUAACGCGUUAAGUGAUCCGCCUGGGGAGUACGAUCGCAAGAUUAAAACUCAAAGAAAUUGACGGGGGUCCGCACAAGCGGUGGAACAUGUGGUUUAAUUCGACACUACGCGAGGAACCUUACCUAGGAUUGACAUGUAACUGACCGCUGUAGAAAUACAGUCUUUCGGGGAAACUCGAACAGUUACACAGGUGCUGCAUGGCUGUCGUCAGCUCGUGUCGUGAGAUGUUGGGUUAAGUCCUUUAACGAGCGCAACCCUUGCUGUUAGUUGCUACAUUUAGUUGAGCACUCUAGCAGGACUGCCUGGGGAACCAGGAGGAAGGUGGGGACGAGGUCAAGUCAUCAUGGCCCUUAUACCUAGGGCUACACACGUGUUACAAUGGCUAGUACAAAGGGAUGCAAUACCGUGAGGUGGAGCAAACCUCAAAAAGCUAGUCUAAGUUCGGAUU